GGAAAGUGAGAAAUUCUGAGAUGGUGAAACAAUGUGAAAGAGAGGGAAUAAAAAAAAAUUGGCACUAGGUUGAGAUAGAUUUUCCACCUUAAAAUUAGAGAUUUUUAAAUAAGGUAACACUUAUAAUUACAAGGGACCCUAAUUUGCUGACACUUUGUUUAUUAAUAUCGGUAAUAUUUUUAAUACACCAAUGUUUUUAUAUUAAU
This 206-nucleotide unclassified non-coding RNA is filed under the name Hevea brasiliensis (rubber tree). The record is from RNAcentral. Lineage: Eukaryota; Viridiplantae; Streptophyta; Magnoliopsida; Malpighiales; Euphorbiaceae.